CCUACGGGAGGCUGCAGUCGAGAAUCAUUCACAAUGGGGGAAACCCUGAUGGUGCGACGCCGCGUGGGGGAAUGAAGGUCUUCGGAUUGUAAACCCCUGUCUUGUGGGAGCAAAUUAAAAAGAUAGUACCACAAGAGGAAGAGACGGCUAACGCUGUGCCAGCGGCCGCGGUAAUACAGAGGUCUCAAGUGUUGUUCGCAAUCACGGGGCGAAAGGCGUGCGUAGGCUGUUUCGUAAGUCGUGUGUGAACGGAGCGGGCCCAACCCGCGGCCGGAACAUGAUACUGCGAGACUAGAGUAAUGGAGGGGGAACCGGAAUUCUAGGUGUAGGAGUGAAAGGCGUAGAUAUCGAGGGGAACACUGGUGGCGAGGGCGGGUCCUGGACAUUAACUGACGCUGAGGCACGAAGGCCAGGGGAGCGAAAGGGAUUAGAUACCCUGGUAGUC
Molecule: ribosomal RNA, 445 nt
Filed under: uncultured bacterium
Lineage: Bacteria
Description: partial 16S ribosomal RNA
Rfam family: Bacterial small subunit ribosomal RNA
Source: RNAcentral